AACGAACGCUGGCGGCAUGCCUAACACAUGCAAGUCGAACGAGACCUUCGGGUCUAGUGGCGCACGGGUGCGUAACGCGUGGGAACCUGCCCUUAGGUUCGGAAUAACUCCUCGAAAGGGGUGCUAAUACCGGAUGAUGUCUUCGGACCAAAGAUUUAUCGCCUAUGGAUGGGCCCGCGUUGGAUUAGCUAGUGGUGGGGUAAAGGCCUACCAAGGCGACGAUCCAUAGCUGGUCUUAGAGGAUGAUCAGCCACACUGGGACUGAGACACGGCCCAGACUCCUACGGGAGGCAGCAGUGGGGAAUAUUGGACAAUGGGCGAAAGCCUGAUCCAGCAAUGCCGCGUGAGUGAUGAAGGCCCUAGGGUUGUAAAGUCCUUUUGCUUGGGAACAAUAUUUUGAGUGUACCAAGAGAAUAAGAGGUUGCUAACUCUGUGCCAGCCGCCGCAGUAA
Molecule: ribosomal RNA, 451 nt
Filed under: uncultured bacterium
Lineage: Bacteria
Description: partial 16S ribosomal RNA
Rfam family: Bacterial small subunit ribosomal RNA
Source: RNAcentral